GGGAGGGUCAUUGGAAACUGGGAAACUUGAGUGCAGAAGAGGAGAGUGGAAUUCCACGUGUAGCGGUGAAAUGCGUAGAGAUGUGGAGGAACACCAGUGGCGAAGGCGACUCUCUGGUCUGUAACUGACGCUGAGGAGCGAAAGCGUGGGGAGCGAACAGGAUUAGAUACCCUGGUAGUCCACGCCGUAAACGAUGAGUGCUAAGUGUUAGGGGGUUUCCGCCCCUUAGUGCUGCAGCUAACGCAUUAAGCACUCCGCCUGGGGAGUACGGUCGCAAGACUGAAACUCAAAGGAAUUGACGGGGGCCCGCACAAGCGGUGGAGCAUGUGGUUUAAUUCGAAGCAACGCGAAGAACCUUACCAGGUCUUGACAUCCUCUGACAACCCUAGAGAUAGGGCUUUCCCUUCGGGGACAGAGUGACAGGUGGUGCAUGGUUGUCGUCAGCUCGUGUCGUGAGAUGUUGGGUUAAGUCCCGCAACGAGCGCAACCCUUGAUCUUAGUUGCCAGCAUUCAGUUGGGCACUCUAAGGUGACUGCCGGUGACAAACCGGAGGAAGGUGGGGAUGACGUCAAAUCAUCAUGCCCCUUAUGACCUGGGCUACACACGUGCUACAAUGGGACAGAACAAAGGGCCUGCAAGACCGCAAGGUUUAGCCAAUCCCAUAAAUCUGUUCUCAGUUCGGAUCGCAGUCUGCAACUCGACUGC
RNAcentral lists this ribosomal RNA (705 nucleotides) under Bacillus sp. (in: firmicutes). RNAcentral's name for it is "bacterial SSU rRNA". It matches the Rfam family "Bacterial small subunit ribosomal RNA", at positions 616 to 1319 of the family's 1533-position model. The record is from RNAcentral. Lineage: Bacteria; Bacillati; Bacillota; Bacilli; Caryophanales; Bacillaceae.